This 444-nucleotide ribosomal RNA is filed under the name uncultured Hyphomicrobiales bacterium. Its description in RNAcentral is "bacterial SSU rRNA". It matches the Rfam family "Bacterial small subunit ribosomal RNA", at positions 97 to 576 of the family's 1533-position model. Lineage: Bacteria; Pseudomonadati; Pseudomonadota; Alphaproteobacteria; Hyphomicrobiales. The record is from RNAcentral.
GGCAGACGGGUGAGUAAUGUAUAGGAAUCUACCUAGUAGUACGGAAUAAUUGUUGGAAACGGCAACUAAUACCGUAUACGCCCUACGGGGGAAAAAUUUAUUGCUAUUAGAUGAGCCUAUAUUAGAUUAGUUAGUUGGUGAGGUAAAGGCUUACCAAGACAAUGAUCUAUAGCUGAUCUGAGAGGAUGAUCAGCCACACUGGAACUGAGAUACGGUCCAGACUCCUACGGGAGGCAGCAGUGGGGAAUAUUGGACAAUGGGCGAAAGCCUGAUCCAGCCAUGCCGCAUGAGUGAAGAAGGCCUUCGGGUUGUAAAGCUCUUUUAGUGAGGAAGAUAAUGACGGUACUCACAGAAGAAGUCCUGGCUAACUCCGUGCCAGCAGCCGCGGUAAUACNGAGAGGGCUAGCGUUAUUCGGAAUCAUUGGGCGUAAAGGGCGCGUAGGC